RNAcentral lists this long non-coding RNA (1429 nucleotides) under Junco hyemalis (dark-eyed junco). Its description in RNAcentral is "lncRNA (ENSJHYG00000006748.1)". The record is from RNAcentral. Lineage: Eukaryota; Metazoa; Chordata; Aves; Passeriformes; Passerellidae.
GGGAAGGGAAGGGAAGGGAAGGGAAGGGAAGGGAAGGGAAGGGAAGGGAAGGGAAGGGAAGGGAAGGGAAGGGAAGGGAAGGAAAAAGGAGAAAGGGAAGGAGAAGGAGAAACGGAAGGAAACCCCCUCUUUCCCCUGCCUUUGAUUCUGGACCCCACUCAGCUGGGGCAUUGCCUCUCUCCAUCCCUCCUCAGAAGCAGCUAAAAUGGUUUCCAGCCUCUGUGGGGCAGCUGUGGAAGCAACAGGAGCUCCCCCAGCACAAAAUUCAGGCACAGGCUGGUUCCUGAGCUGGUUCCUGCCCGGGGUGGAUGUUACCAGCCAGGGAAGCACUACCUUGGGGCUUCCCAGAGAUGCUGAUGCAUCCUUGCAAAAUCCCCCUCGGCACCUGGAAAACGUCAUCCCAAAGCUCUCCCGAAUGCCAGAAGACCCCAAGCUCUUUGUGGGGCUGAUAUCCAAUGGUAAGAAACACGAUCAGCAUCAGGUUGGUGUCGGGAAGAGCCACACAUUCCUUCGGGCAUCUCCUGCAAGCCUCGAGGGUACCUGCCCUCCUCUGGACCGCUGCAUCGCUGCUCGAAAGCAUCGCGGAUGUUCCUCCCUGCCUCUCCCGAGUGCCGGAGGAUGUGUUUAGGACCCGGGCUGAGCAGCUCCUCCUCCAUUCCAGGUCUCUCCAGGGUUAUUGCUUGGUGGGAGGUAGGUUCAGGGCUCGGUGGUAUGAAUGAAAGAGAGAGAGAGAGAGAGAGGAAAUCGGCGCUGAAAAGCUCAAACUGGAAUAGCUCGCCUGUCUCCAGGCAACAGCCCUGACGCAACCGCUGGGGAAAAAAAAAAAAAAAAAAAAGUCCCCUAAAUGAAAAAAAAAAAAAAAGGCAAAAAACAACAAACCAACCACCACACGCACAGAUCGCUGGAGCGAGACACAGAGGAGGAGGAGGAGGAGGAUGAGACAGGCUCCGGGAGGAGGCACUGGUGACACCGCUCUGCGAACACCAAGUUGGGGAGCCGAGGUGCAAGGAGGGAGCCGAGAUGUCCGUGCCAUAAUCCCCGAUUCGACUCCAGCCCCGGUUGCCCUAUUUCAUCUGGACCUGAUUUGCCCAGAUGGGGAAAUGUGGGUUGGCCAGGCAGAAAAUCAGCAAAACCAGACAUCCCAACCUCCAGCAGCAACCACUGCUGUCUCCAGAGAACUUUGGGGUCAGGGAAUGUGUCCUGGCCUCCUUGGCCACCCUUCUGUGGCCCCAGGAGUUAAGAUUGGAGGUGUGGGUAACCAGAGCUUUGCUGAAAGCCAGAGCCUGUCUGUUCCUGCCCCAGAGCACUCAGAUAACCGAGGUGAGGUCACCCUCCCCUGCAGCACCUUGGCACUGAGCCUCUCCCAAAACCCUCACAAGAGCUGUCUCUCUUUUCUCACUCCCUUUUCCUUCUCAAAACCAAUCCUUUU